GACGAACGCUGGCGGCGUGCUUAACACAUGCAAGUCGAACGGAAAGGCCCUGCUUUUGUGGGGUGCUCGAGUGGCGAACGGGUGAGUAACACGUGAGUAACCUGCUCUUGACUUUGGGAUAACUUCAGGAAACUGGGGCUAAUACCGGAUAGGAGCUCCUGCUGCAUGGUGGGGGUUGGAAAGUUUCGGCGGUUGGGGAUGGACUCGCGGCUUAUCAGCUUGUUGGUUGGGUAGUGGCUUACCAAGGCUUUGACGGGUAGCCGGCCUGAGAGGGUGACCGGCCACAUUGGGACUGAGAUACGGACCAGACUCCUACGGGAGGCAGCAGUGGGGAAUAUGGCACAAUGGGCGGAAGCCUGAUGCGACAGCGCCGCGUGCGGGAUGACGGCCUUCGGGUUGUAAACCGCUUUCGCCUGUGACGAAGCGUGAGUGACGGUAAUGGGUAAAGAAGCACCGGCUAACUACGUG
Molecule: ribosomal RNA, 468 nt
Filed under: uncultured bacterium
Lineage: Bacteria
Description: partial 16S ribosomal RNA
Rfam family: Bacterial small subunit ribosomal RNA
Source: RNAcentral